GUGAACAGGGCUGGCUAAAGUGCAGGUGCAUUUCUGCUCUCUUAUAGACUGCUGCCUCCCUCAUCCUGUAGUUUUUUAGCUGUCUGCUGGUCCAGCUGAUCUGCCCACUACAGCAUUUCUUGAGUGCACAGUCUGAUGUAGAAAAGACAUACAUAACUGCUGUUAUGGAACAGCUAGCAAGUGGAGUGGUGCAGAUAAGUCUGCACCACAUCAUGGGGAUCUUUAUGUAAACUGAGCUACCCUUAACAGCCAACAGAAAGAAACACUUGGAUCGUGCUGCAUAUACGUAGCUGAAAAGGAAGAAGAAUCUGAUGCUGUAUACCUCACCUUGAGGGUGACAGACAGGACAUUUUACUAUAAAUGUUUAUGCAUUAAUAUGCAGAAACCUGUCUUGGUAGGGUUUUUC
This 406-nucleotide long non-coding RNA is filed under the name Struthio camelus australis. RNAcentral's name for it is "lncRNA (ENSSCUG00000018830.1)". The record is from RNAcentral. Lineage: Eukaryota; Metazoa; Chordata; Aves; Struthioniformes; Struthionidae.